This 388-nucleotide long non-coding RNA is filed under the name Cyanistes caeruleus (blue tit). Its description in RNAcentral is "lncRNA (ENSCCEG00000012805.1)". Lineage: Eukaryota; Metazoa; Chordata; Aves; Passeriformes; Paridae. The record is from RNAcentral.
GGGGACUGUCAGGGGACAGGUCUGUACCACGGUUUGUUUGUGUCAAAGUCCAAAAAAGCCUGACUGUGAGAGGGGAUCUCAGGACAGCACACUGGCAGGGAGCCAAGAGGAGCGUGUCAGUGGCUGUGUGUUGUAAACCAGCAGCAAUCCUUCUGCCACCGUGGAUUGCAAAAACAGCAGCACUGCCAAUGUUUAUGUGACUCUGGCAUCCUGACUGAGAAUCUUUUAGUUACAUCACAGGGGAGAAGCUGCAGCCCUGAGGGCAGCUGUAGAAAGUCCAGGUGCUGUGCUACUGCUGAUCCCUCCUGCUCCUAAGCCAGAGCCCUGCACCAUCUCUCAGUUCUUUCAUCUGUGGAAGGAGGUGCUGAAAAUGAGUUGCUUUGCACCA